Long non-coding RNA from Odocoileus virginianus texanus, 526 nucleotides. RefSeq lists it as uncharacterized. NCBI's taxonomy places the organism in Eukaryota, Metazoa, Chordata, Mammalia, Artiodactyla, Cervidae. The record is from RefSeq and is a predicted model, not a curated record.
CGUUGUUUUCCCCAUUUCACAAAGACAGAAAUGAGGCACAGCGUGGUGGGGAGGAGAAGCCCAGGUGUCUAAGGCGGUGAAUUGUCCAGGCAUUUACCCAACAGUGAAACAUCUGGGUCACAUGGAAAGUCGAUGAUUUACGGCCGCCGGGCUGCCCUCCCCAGCAGCGGCUCCGUUUUAUUUUUCCACCAGCCUGUGAUGGAAGCACGCGUGUGCGGCACUGAUUCUCUGCUCCUCCCCAGUUAUCUUCAACUUCAUGAGCAAGAAGUCUCUAUGAAGAAAGACAAGGUUAUUGACCAACUCCUGUACGUCGUUUUCUUCUGCAGAAGAAAUUGUGACCUACCAUCCCUGGCUCAUAUGAAAUGCAUGUAUGUGCCUUUCUGACAGCAAUGACGGUACACUUAUGUUUCAACUUCUUCACAUGCCCUUAGCAACUAGGCCCAGCCAGAAAUGACCCUUAAAAAUCUUUCUUCUCUUGUUAAUUCAUGUUGACUCCAAUUUAAGACCACUUCUAACACAAACAAUU